Molecule: small nucleolar RNA, 92 nt
Organism: Silurus meridionalis
Lineage: Eukaryota; Metazoa; Chordata; Actinopteri; Siluriformes; Siluridae
Product: small nucleolar SNORD12/SNORD106
Exons: 1
Source: RefSeq, a predicted model, not a curated record
CAUGGUGUAAAUGAUGACUAAACUUUUUUCCCCAGCAGAUCGAUUCUGUUGACCUCUUUUGAAAAUUAAGCCAAAGUGUCUGAGCCAUUUUU